Molecule: ribosomal RNA, 467 nt
Filed under: uncultured bacterium
Lineage: Bacteria
Description: bacterial SSU rRNA
Rfam family: Bacterial small subunit ribosomal RNA
Source: RNAcentral
GUCCAGACUCCUACGGGAGGCAGCAGUGAGGAAUAUUGGUCAAUGGCCGAGAGGCUGAACCAGCCAAGUCGCGUGAGGGAAGACGGCCCUACGGGUUGUAAACCUCUUUUGUCGGGGAGCAAAGCGAGUCACGUGUGACUCAUUGAGAGUACCCGAAGAAAAAGCAUCGGCUAACUCCGUGCCAGCAGCCGCGGUAAUACGGAGGAUGCGAGCGUUAUCCGGAUUUAUUGGGUUUAAAGGGUGCGCAGGCGGAGGUGCAAGUCAGCGGUCAAAUUGCGGGGCUCAACCCCGGCCGGCCGUUGAAACUGGGUGCCUUGAGUGGGCGAGAAGUACGCGGAAUGCGUGGUGUAGCGGUGAAAUGCAUAGAUAUCACGCAGAACUCCGAUUGCGAAGGCAGCGUACCGGCGCCCAACUGACGCUGAAGCACGAAGGCGUGGGUAUCGAAUAGGAUUAGAUACCCGUGUAAG